Molecule: ribosomal RNA, 266 nt
Filed under: uncultured bacterium
Lineage: Bacteria
Description: partial 16S ribosomal RNA
Rfam family: Bacterial small subunit ribosomal RNA
Source: RNAcentral
GUCCACGCCCUAAACGAUGUCAACUAGGUGUUGGGGGAGGAGACUUCCUUAGUACCGCAGCUAACGCGUGAAGUUGACCGCCUGGGGAGUACGGUCGCAAGAUUAAAACUCAAAGGAAUUGACGGGGACCCGCACAAGCGGUGGAUUAUGUGGAUUAAUUCGAUGCAACGCGAAAAACCUUACCUACCCUUGACAUGCCAGGAACUUGCCAGAGAUGGCUUGGUGCCCGAAAGGGAACCUGGACACAGGUGCUGCAUGGCUGUCGU